AUGUGGUUUAAUUCGAUGCAACGCGAAAAACCUUACCUACCCUUGACAUGUCUGGAAUCCUGAAGAGAUUUGGGAGUGCUCGAAAGAGAGCCAGAACACAGGUGCUGCAUGGCCGUCGUCAGCUCGUGUCGUGAGAUGUUGGGUUAAGUCCCGCAACGAGCGCAACCCUUGUCAUUAGUUGCUACGAAAGGGCACUCUAAUGAGACUGCCGGUGACAAACCGGAGGAAGGUGGGGAUGACGUCAGGUCAUCAUGGCCCUUAUGGGUAGGGCUACACACGUCAUACAAUGGCCGGGACAGAGGGCUGCCAACCCGCGAGGGGGAGCUAAUCCCAGAAACCCGGUCGUAGUCCGGAUCGUAGUCUGCAACUCGACUGCGUGAAGUCGGAAUCGCUAGUAAUCGCGUAUCAGCUUGCCGCGGUGAAUACGUUCCCGGGUCUUGUACACACCGCCCGU
Molecule: ribosomal RNA, 454 nt
Filed under: uncultured Roseateles sp.
Lineage: Bacteria; Pseudomonadati; Pseudomonadota; Betaproteobacteria; Burkholderiales; Sphaerotilaceae
Description: bacterial SSU rRNA
Rfam family: Bacterial small subunit ribosomal RNA
Source: RNAcentral